This 508-nucleotide ribosomal RNA is filed under the name uncultured bacterium. Its description in RNAcentral is "partial 16S ribosomal RNA". It matches the Rfam family "Bacterial small subunit ribosomal RNA", at positions 28 to 523 of the family's 1533-position model. The record is from RNAcentral.
GAUGAACGCUAGCUACAGGCUUAACACAUGCAAGUCGAGGGGAAACGACAUCAAAAGCUUGCUUUUGAUGGGCGUCGACCGGCGCACGGGUGAGUAACGCGUAUCCAACCUGCCCACCACUUGGGGAUAACCUUGCGAAAGUAAGACUAAUACCCAAUGACGUCUCUAGAAGACAUCUGAAAGAGAUUAAAGAUUUAUCGGUGAUGGAUGGGGAUGCGUCUGAUUAGCUUGUUGGCGGGGUAACGGCCCACCAAGGCGACGAUCAGUAGGGGUUCUGAGAGGAAGGUCCCCCACAUUGGAACUGGGACACGGUCCAAACUCCUACGGGAGGCAGCAGUGAGGAAUAUUGGUCAAUGGGCGAGAGCCUGAGCCAGCCAAGUAGCGUGCAGGAUGACGGCCCUAUGGGUUGUAAACUGCUUUUAUAAGGGAAUAAAGUGAGUCUCGUGAGACUUUUUGCAUGUACCUUAUGAAUAAGGACCGGCUAAUUCCGUGCCAGCCGCCGCCGUAA